Molecule: non-coding RNA, 1505 nt
Organism: Callithrix jacchus (white-tufted-ear marmoset)
Lineage: Eukaryota; Metazoa; Chordata; Mammalia; Primates; Cebidae
Source: RefSeq, a predicted model, not a curated record
GAGACAGGAUCUCCCCCUGUCACCCAAGAUGGAGUACAGUGGCAUGAUCUCAGUUCACUGCAACCUCUGCUCCCGGGUUCAAGCAAUUCUGCCUCAGCCUCUCAAGUAGCUGGGAUUACAGACGUGUGCCACCACACCCAGUUUUUACUAGAGCCAGUCAUCCAUCAUACCUGGAACAGCGAUAAUACCCAGAUUGCCCUCAGUCCUAAUAAUCAUGAAAUGCACAUCUGAAAGAACGGAGCCAGCGGGUGAAAGCUCAUGAACUCAAGGAGCACAAUGGACACAUCACAGAUAUUGAUUCGGCUCCCAAGAGCAACCGAUUCGUCACUUGUUGGGCAGAUCACAAUACCUAUCUAUGUCUGGAGACAGAAAGAUGGUGUCUGGAAGCCAACCCUAUCCUGAGAAUUACACAGCUACUUUUGUGAAGUGGUCCCCCCUAGAGAACAAAUCUGCUGUGAGAAGUGGAGCAUGACUCAUUUCUGUUUGUUACUUUGAGUCUGAAAAUGACUGGUGAGUGAGCAAGCACAUUAAAAAGUUGAUUCGCUCCACAGUCCUCAGCUUGGAUUGGCAUCCCAAUGUAUUGCUGGCAGCAGGAUCAUGUGACUUCAAAUGCAGUGUUUUCUGCUUACAUUAAAGAAGUGGAUGAAAAGCCAGCCAGCACAUCCUGGGGCAGCAAGAUGUCUUUUGGGAAGCUGAUGUCAGAGUUUGGUGGCAGUGGCUCUGGUGGCUGGGUCCACGGGGUCAGCUUCUCUGCCAGUGGGAGCCACCUUGGGUCAGCCAUGAUAGCACCAUGUCUGUUGCUGAUGCCUCAAAAAUAUGCAGGUCUCAACUCUGAUGAUGGAGUUUCUGCCCCUUCUUAGUGUGUCAUUUGCCUCAGAGGCUGCUGGCCAUGACUGCUGCCCAGUGCUCUUUAGCUAUGAUGACUGUGCUACCUGAUCUUUGUCUCCAAGUUAGAUAUUCCAAAACAGACCAUCCAAUGCGACAUAUCUGCCAUGGAAUGCUUCCACAACAUGGACAAGAGGGCCACAAAUGAGGACCACAACACGAUCUUGGAGAUACUGCACCAGAAUAGCAUCACUCAAGUCUCUAUGAAGUGGACAAGCAAGGUGUGUUGCAAAUUUUGUAGUGCUGGCAUUGAUAGAGCCAUGACAAUUUGAGGUUUCAAGGGCCUCCAGAUAAUGUGAAGCUGAGUGACCUUCCACCAUCCAGUGUGACAAACUGUGGCUGACCACAGCUGUGCCGUGGAAGCCAGCCCCAAGAAAACACUGAAAACAUGUAUCACACCAAUACCAUGUGGUUUUGUUUGAAUAUAAACUUGGUGAAAGUGUUGAUUUUUUAAAAGCAGUUUUUUGUUUAUUUGUUUGCUUGUGGUUUCAUUCCAUUAUUGACCAAAGCUUUUCUUUAAGUAGUUUAUUAUGGAAAAUUGUCACACUAACUUAAAAGAUAGGGUAAGGAAGAUUAUAUAAAUUGUCCACUAGAAAAUUAAAUAAAAGAACUGAAUGUGG